CUUUUCUUCAUGAAGAUUAACAUGUCGAACCCUGGGAAGCCAACUCUUAAAUGAAAUCAGUUUCAAGAACUUGAAUACUCGUGGGUGGUUGAUUAACAUUCGAAACGGAAGAAAAUAAGGAAAACGAAUGACUGGUGAAGAAGUCCUCAUUGCAAGAGCCGAAAUUAUAAUUGAAAUAAUGAAAUAAACGAGAUUCGAUAUCCUUUAUACAAAAUAAUUAUUUUAAAUAGCUAUAUUUUAUCUAAUAUAAAUAAAAUAAUAAUAAAAAUUUAAAUAAAUUAAUAAAUUUAAUAACUUACAUGCUAAAAAUUUAUUCUUAAUCUCUCGUUUAAAAGUCAUUAAGAAGAAACGUAACACUGCCAUUGUUCUAGCACGGGCAUCUUUUAUAUUCGUUGUGAAGCCAACGAAUUUCUUUUCGAUUACGAAAGGGUUUCGACUCAUUACAAAGAUUGUGAUUGUUUUUAAAAUGUACGAAUUACGACAUAACGAUUUAUUGACUGCGUAAAAUCAUAGUUUUAUGUGAAAAGGAAACCUGUAAUUGUUAAAUAAUUUGUUAAUAUAAUAAUUGUUAGAUUUAAAUUUAAAAUUUUUAUUUUUAUUUUGAUGCUCUUAUAUUAUUUCUUAUAUUCAGGAAAAAAAUUCUAUGUGUGCAUCUAAAUAUGUAGUAAUUUUUCGGCAAAAAAAUAGAAAAAAGGUUUAUAAAAAUAAUCUUUUAGUUUUUUAUUUUAGUAAUAUUGAAUACACAACUGUUUACAUUUACAAUUACGAUGAAUGCUUACAAAUCGUUUAUAAUGUGAAUUGUAACAUUAACGAGUUUCAACAUUUAUUUAAAAUGUUAAAUAUUAGAAUCGAGAAUUGUUAUUAUUUAUUUAUAAUAAUUGAUAUUAUCUAAUCAUAUAAUAUUUAUUUUAAAUCUACAUACAUAGCAUAUGUAAUAAUCUAAUUCUCAUAUAUUACAGUUAACAUUAAAUUGAAAUUCGUGAAUAUAAUAAUAUUUGACAAAAAUUGAAGUAUUGUAUGAAAUAACAUAUUUAAAUAAUAACACGAAAUAAAUGAAAUAAUCUUUCUCUGUUUUUAUAAAAUAUUUGUAAAAAAUAUAUUUCUAUAAUUAUUAAUCUAAAUUAUAUUUAUUUUACUUAAAAAAUUUAAUUACAUACUAUUUUUUAUUUAAAUUAGCAUUUGUGAAAAAUGAAAUUAUAUAGAAUGUAUAUUUACUUAAUAUUAUCAAGUUUCAAAAAUCUACUUGAAUAUGAAAUAUUUAAUAAAAAAAAAAAAUUACAUACAUUGAAAGAAUUAAAAUUAUGUUAAUAUUUCAUCAGCCUUUUAUAAUCAUUAAAUCUUUUGAAUAAACUAUUAACAUAUUUUUAAAUAGAUUUUCUAAUGUUUUAAUAGCAAAAA
Molecule: long non-coding RNA, 1398 nt
Organism: Apis cerana (Asiatic honeybee)
Lineage: Eukaryota; Metazoa; Arthropoda; Insecta; Hymenoptera; Apidae
Source: RefSeq, a predicted model, not a curated record